UACGGGGGGAGCAAGCGUUGUUCGGAUUUACUGGGCGUAAAGGGCGCGUAGGCGGCCAGCACAAGUCAGUUGUGAAAUCUCUGGGCUUAACUCGGAAAGGUCAACUGAUACUGUGCGGCUAGAGUGCAGAAGGGGCAACUGGAAUUCUCGGUGUAGCGGUGAAAUGCGUAGAUAUCGAGAGGAACACCGGUGGCGAAGGCGGCGACCUGGUCCGUGACUGACGCUGAGGCGCGAAAGCGUGGGGAGCAAACAGG
This 254-nucleotide ribosomal RNA is filed under the name uncultured bacterium. RNAcentral's name for it is "partial 16S ribosomal RNA". It matches the Rfam family "Bacterial small subunit ribosomal RNA", at positions 524 to 776 of the family's 1533-position model. The record is from RNAcentral.